AGUUUUACAUGAAUUUCUCUCUCCCGCAUAGUAGAUAAGCUCAUAGAGUUCACGCGGUGUACCCUUUCUUUAUCUGAGGGGAAAUUUAAGAGAGGAAUGAAGAGAGUACAAGGUUUCGCUGUAGGUGUACCUGCGGAAGGAUCAUUAAUAAAACGAAUCUGCGGUUUAGGUCAGCCCUGACCGUAGUGUUUUAAACCAACUGUGAACUAAAACCUUAUUGCUUCGGUAGCUGGGUUCGGGUCUAACCGCCCUGCCCGUCAGCCUGCCGGCAGCAACCAAACCAAAACUUGCUUUAAAAAUUAUGUCUGAAACCAAUCAUUUUCGAAUGAAAAUUAAAACUUUCAACAACGGAUCUCUUGGUUCUCGCAUCGAUGAAGAACGCAGCGAAACGCGAUAGUUAAUGUGAAUUGCAGAAUUCAGUGAAUCAUCGAGUCUUUGAACGCACAUUGCGCCCAUCGGUAUUCCUUUGGGCAUGUCUGUUUGAGCGUCAUUUCAACUCUCUAUCCAUAAAUUUUUUUGUGCGAUUAGGUUUUGAGCUCGGUUUUGAUAGGUCAAACCACCAGCCGGCUUUAAAGUUGAACGCUCUGCGGGUGACUUUCUACCUGACCGAACAUAGUAAAAUUUUUAUUCUUGUUCUACUUGGUACCAAGUUGUUUACCCAGCCUGAACAAACUUAUAUUUCUAAGGUUUGACCUCAGAUCAGACAAGGAUGCCCGCUGAACUUAAGCUUUAAAGGGGGGGGAAAAAAAUUGAACAAUUGAGAACCCCAUAACCAGCGUUCACAUGAAGACAACACAACAAGGCGAGAGUCUGUACAAAGUGCUUCUUCUAGUGAUUCACCGAGGAGUCCGAGCAGCGACACCUACAAUCCUUCUGAAGGAGUGAUCGGUUGGACGAUUGGGUUUGAUGCCACUACAGGAUCACUCUCUCAACUGCUGCUCUAAAAUGUGGACGCGCUGCGCUCCA
RNAcentral lists this ribosomal RNA (966 nucleotides) under Orbilia aurantiorubra. RNAcentral's name for it is "eukaryotic LSU rRNA". The stretch from base 337 to 490 matches the Rfam family "5.8S ribosomal RNA". Lineage: Eukaryota; Fungi; Ascomycota; Orbiliomycetes; Orbiliales; Orbiliaceae. The record is from RNAcentral.